UGGGGAAUAUUGGACAAUGGAGGAAACUCUGAUCCAGCAAUUCUGUGUGUGUGAAGAAGGUUUUAGGACUGUAAAACACUUUUAGUAGGGAAGAAAAAAAUGACGGUACCUACAGAAGAAGCAACGGCUAAAUACGUGCCAGCAGCCGCGGUAAUACGUAUGUUGCGAGCGUUAUCCGGAAUUAUUGGGCUUAAAGGGCAUCUAGGCGGUAAGACAAGUUGAAGGUGAAAACCUGUGGCUCAACCAUAGGCUUGCCUACAAAACUGUUGAACUAGAGUACUGGAAAGGUGGGUGGAACUACACGAGUAGAGGUGAAAUUCGUAGAUAUGUGUAGGAAUGCCGAUGAUGAAGAUAGCUCACUGGACAGAAACUGACGCUGAAGUGCGAAAGCUAGGGGAGCAAACAGG
Molecule: ribosomal RNA, 407 nt
Filed under: Verrucomicrobiota bacterium
Lineage: Bacteria; Pseudomonadati; Verrucomicrobiota
Description: Verrucomicrobia bacterium partial 16S ribosomal RNA
Rfam family: Bacterial small subunit ribosomal RNA
Source: RNAcentral